UGUGAAGGAUUCCCAGGGGCGAGGGCGGCUAUCCGGUUCCACACUGACGUUGAGGAACGAAACCAUGGGGAUCAACCAGGAUUAGAUCCCCUGGUAGUCCAUGCCCUAAAAGAUGAGUGCUGGUGCUUAGAAAAAGUUUAGGCGCUAAGUUACCACGCUAAGCACUCCGCCUGGGGAGUACGGCCGCAAGGUUGGAACUCAAAGGAAUUGACGGGGGCCUAGACAAGUGGUGGAGCAUGUGGUUUAAUGCGAUAAUACGCGCGAAACCUUACCAGCUUUUGCAUGAUGAACUAAUUUUUUUGAGAAAAAAAAUAGAGUUUACACAGGUGCUGCAUGGCUGUCGUCAGCCCGUGUCGUAAGAUGUUAGGUUAACUCCUUUUAACGGGCGAAACCCCUGUUUCUUGUUGCUACUUUUUUGGCAAAGAAAGGAACUCUAGAAAGACUGCUCAUGGUUUUUCGAAACUUAUGAAGAGGAAGGAGGGGAUGACGUCAAGUCUUUAUGGCCCUUAUAAGCUGGGCUACACACGUGCUACAAUGGCAAUGACAACGAGAAGCAAGAGGGUAACCUGGAGCCAAUCUUUAAAAAUUGCCAAUGUUCAGAUUGAGGGCUGAAACUCGCCCUCAUGAAGGUGGAAUCACUAGUAAUCGCGAAUCAGCACGUCGCGGUGAAUUUGUACUUAGGCCUUGUACACACCGCCCGUCACGUGCCGGAAGUUGGUUUGGCUAGAAGAAUGUGACCCAACUAGAUGAGAAGAUACGUUAUAGUUUGCGUCAUUCGGAAACGUUUUUUGAACUAGGGGGAGCAU
RNAcentral lists this ribosomal RNA (806 nucleotides) under uncultured bacterium. RNAcentral's name for it is "bacterial SSU rRNA". It matches the Rfam family "Bacterial small subunit ribosomal RNA", at positions 697 to 1505 of the family's 1533-position model. The record is from RNAcentral.